GAUGAACGCUGGCGGCGUGCCUAAUACAUGCGAGUCGAGCGAACAGGCGAGGAGCUUGCUCCUCUGACGUUAGCGGCGGACGGGUGAGUAACACGUGGAUAACCUACCUAUAAGACUGGGAUAACUUCGGGAAACCGGAGCUAAUACCGGAUAAUAUAUUGAACCGCAUGGUUCAAUAGUGAAAGACGGUUUUGCUGUCACUUAUAGAUGGAUCCGCGCCGCAUUAGCUAGUUGGUAAGGUAACGGCUUACCAAGGCAACGAUGCGUAGCCGACCUGAGAGGGUGAUCGGCCACACUGGAACUGAGACACGGUCCAGACUCCUACGGGAGGCAGCAGUAGGGAAUCUUCCGCAAUGGGCGAAAGCCUGACGGAGCAGCGCCGCGUGAGUGAUGAAGGUCUUCGGAUCGUAAAACUCUGUUAUUAGGGAAGAACAAAUGUGUAAGUAACUAUGCACGUCUUGACGGUACCUAAUCAGAAAGCCACGGCUAACUACGUG
RNAcentral lists this ribosomal RNA (497 nucleotides) under uncultured bacterium. RNAcentral's name for it is "partial 16S ribosomal RNA". It matches the Rfam family "Bacterial small subunit ribosomal RNA", at positions 28 to 507 of the family's 1533-position model. The record is from RNAcentral.